GGGACGGACACUAAGAAGGGGAUGUAUUGUCUGCGUGUGUUGCCUUCACACCUUUGAAUUCUAAAGGGAUGGCAGGGGCAGCUAACAGAGAGCAGAGAGGAGGCAUCCGGAAUCCCAUGUGGCACAUUUAUGUCAACUGCAUGUCAAUCAGAUGCAAGUGAAGACUAAGCAGUUCCAGCACGGGAACCUCUGAAAAUCAAGACCACAUCAUCCUGAUGUUUUGGCAUUUUGCCCACUGCCUCAGCAUGUGCUUUUAAAGAGAGCUCUCUAUUGCCGUCUCAUGGUGAAUGAGUGAAUGGCUGGGAUUAGGAGACAAAACUGGCUACCACCACUAAGCAGAUUAAUUGAAGAUGUGGUAUAUAUACACAAUGGAAAACUACUCAGCCAUAAAAAAGAACAAAAUAAUGCCAUUUGCAGCAACAUGGAUGGAACUAGAGACUCUCAUUCUGAGUGAAAAAGAUUCCACAAAGGCAAAGGGGAAGCUUACAUGAAGCAGACCUGAGUUCCUGCUAUUACUUAUGUGCAACAUCAGAAAGAGAAUUCCAUGAUAAGUGUGGACAGUCUCUAAGGUUUGAGGCUCACCAUAUGAAGGAAUGUUUUCCUGGAAAGCUCUUCUUCUCCAGUCUGGCAUUCAUCCUUCUGAAACAUUUACCCUUCUGUCAGCUGGUCCUCUGGCCUAUUAAAACCAGAUCCCAGUGGAUCUAGAAACCUCCCUAAGCUACCUGGGUGAGUGCUGCAGAUUUGAAAGCAAUCUUUUAAUAUAUUCACUUGAUUUUAAAGACAGAAACCUCCCUGGAACAUUUAACCACAGGUACCCACUUUUGCUUUUCUGAGUGGCUGCUCCCUGAACUUCUCUGAAGCUGCUGUUAGAGGUGGUUAGGAUAUAUUUCCAAAGAUUCAAGUUAUGUGCUGGACUAUUAAGUCUUUGAGGUCCCAGAAAAACCACAAAGGAUUGCUGGUGUCAGGACUGAGGGAGAAACAAGCUUUGAAAUAUAGGAGAUGAUAAAAAAGCAAAGCCUCUGCAGGUAUGUCUUCCCAAUCAGAUAAAAAUACAAACCAAAUGGACAAUAAAGGCAGGCUUUGCAAAGCUCUUGCCUGUGGGGUGGAAAAGUUGGGGAGGGGAGGGUCAGCGAAAGGGGGAUAAAAACCCUCCUGGUGCAUUUAAACCUAAAACCCGAUGUUUAAUUAUAGCAUUACCACAAAAUUUUUUCAAGUCCAUGUUGGUGACCAAAAAGGGACACAGGUGGACAUUUUAGAGAACCCUAGAUAUAGAAGCUUUGUUCUCUGUUUAGAAAGUCUCUCAAAACCCUUGGUUCUAAAUCACAGGUUUCAUCUACAUGGCUCAUCAAAAGAUCACAAAUUUCACUUUUUCCUCCAGAAUGCUGGAUGAGAACAUUCAACCAGAAAUAAGGUCACUGGCAAAGUGAUUCAGGGCUUAUUGGAUUCUUAAGGUUGUUUUCCAGGGAUAUUUAUAAGAGAAAUGUAAUUUUUGGAAAGAAAAAUAUGUUGUGAAUUGAUGACAGUUCUUUCUGGCCCCAGAUCUUUAUUAAGGCAAAAGCAUUGCAGCCACACAGAAGAAUCUGAGUCUCAGCUUUAACUUUUUUCACAUAAAAAUGCACCAACCUCAGUAUUCUGUAGAAAGACCUAGAGUUUUUAGUGCCUUUAGUUUUGUGGUUUCCUGAUUUACAUGGGGCUUUGUGCAUAAAUAUGCAGCUCCCCACUUCCUGAAUGAAAAUAGGCUUUCCUAUUUUAUGGGCCUGCAUACAUUGUACUGAAUUUCUCCACAAAGGACAAAAUUUAUGUUGAAGGCUGAUCCAAGGGAAAUUGACCUGAAAAGAUUUCUCCAAAAGUAGCAGAAGUGCCUACUUUAAUCGUAGAUCCUGGUGGAUGAGCUGAGUAGAUAAGUUCAUAAGACAUAUAUUAAUGACAAUAAUAUGAACACUUUUAUUAAAAAUCAAUCAAAUUAGGAAAUUAUAGAUCACAGAGAGCACUAUCCAUUUAUCAUGACUUUUUAUGUAGAAUUUUCUGUUUACCACCACUGAAAAAUUAGUCAUGAUUCAGGACAUCUUCAAAAACAUACUUAAGGAGACAACCCCUAAAUGUUCCAUAGUCUCAGCCUUGCUUUCUAAGUAUGGUUAUCUUAAACACGGAUCUUUCUCAACAGAGUCAGUUAAGAGCAAAUAUGACUUCAUUUUGCCCUACUUCAUGUUUUUUCUCUGGUCUUAUUACAACCCCUUCGCUCUUGGUGAAAAUUUUAUAUCGUCCUUCCUUUCCUUUCAUCAUCCUUCCUACCUUCUUUGCCCUCUUCCUCCUCCUCCCCUUCCUCCUCCACUUCCUUCUCUAAUGCUGCUGUAGAGGAGCUGCUAUCGUAGUAAAAUUCCAGACUAAGAAACUUCUAUCAUUUUAAGUCUCCUUGUGGACUUGUGAUAGAGCUGCAGUGAUAAGGAGGCUAUUAGAGUUGAUUGAUUCAUCAAACAAGAGCUGUGGGCAAAUAUCUGAAAUGAGUAGUGUUGGGAAACAUAAAGCACACCAUCUCCAUCCAGAGAAUUUACAAAACUGUAGGUUGUAAAGGCAGGUAGGAGUUUGGGUUAAUUUUUCAAAAUCCUUCUCGACUUUGUCACUUAGAAAGAGAUACCUCAUCCAACCAUACCCCACAAAGAAGGAGAGUUUAAGGGUUUCAAUAUCUGUUUUUUGUCUAUUUGAAAUUACUUUGUUUCUGAACAAAAACUAUCUUUCAGCAAAUGGGAAUUUCUAUUAAAUUCACUCUAUUCAUAAUGCAUUCAAAAUCUAAUAUAUAAUUUUCCUAAACCAUUUUGGGAGAAAUAUUGAAAACCUCACGUGAUGAUAUGAAAAUAGUAUUUGAAUGAAAACAUCGCUGUGGAAAACUGGUAUGCAUGAGUAUGACAUUUCUCAUUUGACUAUAGUUAACCAUAGAUGCUGUUAAGCUGGGUUUACAUAGUGCACCCAGUGACAGUUUUAAAGUCAGUUGGAUUUCAUGGGUUUGUUUUGUUUUGUUUUGUUUUUAACCAAGUUUGUUUUUUAAGCAAAUUGAUUGGUUAAAGGGUCAGGGUGGUUGUAUGGUUCGUGUAAAACAACUCUAGACCUAUAGUGAGAUUUGGACACAUGAUCCUUACAAUGAUUCGGUAUAACUUUGAUGGCCCUUUUGAUUUCCCUUUACUUUGAGGUUGUUUGUGUUUUUCAUGAACUCUGUAUUGAUGAAGCAACUCAAAAUAUAUUUGCCACAGUAGGAUAGUUUUCCUAACCAACUUACUUUUCCAACACAUUAUUUUUCUUUCAUCUGCUUAAGGAAUUAUAUUGUUUUUAAGGCUAAAUUCUUCAUCCUGACAUUCAAGGCUUUAUGGAACUAUCUCUGAUAAAUGUCUGGGGAGGGAGUUAGGUACUAAGCACUCAUUCUUGUGCCUCGUCUGCCUUAUCUUGUGUGGCAGAGGCUACAAGCCUCAGAACUACAUUUUCAGACCACUUUUUCUCCUUUGUUUUGGAUAGAUUGGCUCUUUACCUAGUAGUCACACUUAUGUAAGAUUUAGAAAGAAGAAGAGAGGCAGAAGUUUUCUGGUACUUUUUCUGACACCAGACCAUGGGCUUAUAGAAAUGAGUUUUCUAACGAUCUCUGUUUUCUUCUGCUAUUCACCUACCACAGGUAUGUGGAGACACUAUCAAGUGUUACUGGUUUUCUGCCAGUUGUAAACUUCUGGACAUGAGUUUCUGACUCUGUCCAGGCCUUUCCAUGAUUUGUAAGUUCUGUACAAUAUAUUCUUUUAUGUUUUAAAUACACAGAAUGGCUUAUGGUUUUCUAACUGAACCCUGACUAUGUAAUAUAAACCCUCAUUUGAUAAAGAUGCCUGAAACCAAAGGCAAAACAUAGACCUACUCUGUGCUUCAGUGGACCCUCUUGUCUCUCCAUAUCUUUAUCCAUUCAAAUUCAUCUGAGUCUGCCUCCAUGCAACAUUUCCACCUACUGAGCUCCCAUUAAAUCCAUAUUUCUUAACUCUUUCAGUGGUAGUAGCCUAUAGAGAACAAUUUUUGAACCUCAGUUUUAAUCCUCUUCUGUAUUGUUCUUUUUAUAAAAUCAUGUUUUUCUUUUUAGUAUCCCCCUUUACAUUGUAAGCUCCAAGAGAACAAGUCUACUUUUAAAUGUUUUUUCUUCUGGUUCCUUGACAGAGGCAACACAGUGUGACAUGCAUAAUGGAAUUACAGAAAAAAAAAAAGAAAGAAAAAAGAAAAAAAA
Molecule: long non-coding RNA, 4246 nt
Filed under: Sus scrofa (pig)
Lineage: Eukaryota; Metazoa; Chordata; Mammalia; Artiodactyla; Suidae
Description: lncRNA (ENSSSCG00035055352.1)
Source: RNAcentral